AAUUUGCAAAUUUUCAAAUCCUUAAAUUUCAUGCAAGUCAUAUAAAUAUUUUAUACUAUUACAAAACACUUAGAACAGAUAUUAAUUGAGUGCUAAUAGUCUCAAUUUACCAAUAAGAAACAAAAUUCCCAAACUUAAAAGUUAGGGUUCCAUGAAGGGUAACUCAACUUUUAGGCGCAGAAUCAGUUUCCAUCCCUUGAUUCGGGGAGCUAGGUCAUCAAAUACUGACCCUUUAACUUGUCCAAAUAAACUCCAUAAUCAUAGCAAUCUUGAUCCAAGCAAAGCUCUCUAAUUUCCUUUCCAAGAGAUUCAGCCAAUAACAAGGAAAUAGGAGGGAAGAGGUCUUUUUUGGUUCUAAAAUAUGAAAGUAAUGAGAACAACUUUCUCAAGUUUGAUUCAAGAAUUCAACACUAGAAUUUGUCUUGAAUCUUGGCUUAGGAAAAAAAGAAGAACACUUUUUCUCAUUAGAGAAAACAUGGACAGG
RNAcentral lists this unclassified non-coding RNA (484 nucleotides) under Hevea brasiliensis (rubber tree). Lineage: Eukaryota; Viridiplantae; Streptophyta; Magnoliopsida; Malpighiales; Euphorbiaceae. The record is from RNAcentral.